GUGUCAGCAGCCGCGGUAAUACGGAGGGCGCAAGCGUUGUUCGGAAUUACUGGGCGUAAAGCGCGUGUAGGCGGCCUGACAAGUCGAAUGUGAAAUCCCGGAGCUCAACUCCGGAACGGCAUACGAUACUGUUAGGCUCGAGUCCCGGAGAGGAUGGCGGAAUUUCCGGUGUAGAGGUGAAAUUCGUAGAUAUCGGAAGGAACACCAGUGGCGAAGGCGGCCAUCUGGACGGUGACUGACGCUGAGACGCGAAAGCGUGGGGAGCAAACAGGAUUAGAAACCCCAGUAGUCC
Molecule: ribosomal RNA, 292 nt
Filed under: uncultured bacterium
Lineage: Bacteria
Description: partial 16S ribosomal RNA
Rfam family: Bacterial small subunit ribosomal RNA
Source: RNAcentral